RNAcentral lists this long non-coding RNA (382 nucleotides) under Lathyrus oleraceus (garden pea). RNAcentral describes it as "Pisum sativum (pea) long non-coding RNA (PSAT_LNC002892)". The record is from RNAcentral. Lineage: Eukaryota; Viridiplantae; Streptophyta; Magnoliopsida; Fabales; Fabaceae.
AAAAUCACCACUUGGCAUACAUCCGCACUAGGAUCAUUGCCGAGUUAUAUUUUUCUAAACUACUUUCAAAACUAAGCGAGAUAACCACUUUGUAUACAUUCAUGCAAGAAUCAUUACAAAGUUAAAUUCUCCUUUUCAAAACAUCUUUCACACAUCUCACAAACACUUUUCAAACUAGGAAAACAUAAAUGAUUGAGCAAUUAAGAGCCCAUGGAUAACCAUGGAUACAAAGGGUGCUUACCCCUUCCCUUUGUAUAAAGUACCUCCCGAACCUAAGAAUUUAAAAUUAAGGUCUUUCCUGUUCUUUUCCACCUUUCCUUAGGGGAUAAAAGAAAAGUCGGUGGCGACUCUUGCUAACCGCGACAUUGCGAUUACAAAUCCA